Molecule: long non-coding RNA, 113 nt
Organism: Myotis davidii
Lineage: Eukaryota; Metazoa; Chordata; Mammalia; Chiroptera; Vespertilionidae
Exons: 3
Source: RefSeq, a predicted model, not a curated record
CCAGGAAUGUGACCCCUCUUGUCAAAUUACUCUUCAUUUCCUGCCUGGGCAUCAAUGGUCUUGAGGUGAACAUCUGAGACCCUAUAGAAAUUCACACAUACAAAAAAUUUUUU